AAAUCCGAAAAUAAUGAUAAUAAUCUAUUCAAAGUAUUUGCUUUUUCAAGCCAAAAGUAGAGAGAGAAAAUAUCAAAGUAUAUUGUCAAAACUCAAUAUGUCGACUCAAAAACCCUAAAACAAUGAUUUUAAAUAGUUCACCCUAAUUAUGGAAACAAAAUAAUAAAAUUCAGAAAUCUCUUGGAUCAGGUGACGACAUUUGUGACAGCCUAUCAGGAGGCUGACGACUUAUCAUAAAUGUCAUCAGCUUCUUCUUUAGUUUUGGCUCUUCCUACUUAAGGCUGAUGACAAUCUUGAUGACUUAUCAACUCCUUGAUGACCUAUCACAAAAUAUCGUCAAGGCUCUGCUUCAGUACUUUAGUGCUGCCUUAGGUUGACGACAUUCUUAACAGCUUAUCAGACCCUUGACGACUUAUCACAAAAUGUCGUCACAGACUUCAACUUAGGCUAAUUCUCUAUCUAUGGCUGACGAUGACCUUGAUAGCUUAUCACAAGGCUGACGACUUAUCACAAAUGUUGUCAACCACACUUUUCUUCUGAUUUCAACUUCUUUUCUUCUAUUCUUAUUCGUUCUCUAUCAUAUCAGCUUCUACUGCAAAAUCAAACAUAAACCAAUAAAAAAAGAUAAAAGUUGCUUAAGACUUCACAAUUAUUCUUAGUUAAAAGCCUCAAAUGUGUUAGUGUUAGCUCACACAUCAAUACUACAAACCAACUCAGAAUCUUAGCACGAUAUGUAUGAAAAAAAUAAAGAACUCCAAAGAAUGACGCAUAGCCUCCCGAAGAUUGGAAAUGGCCAUCAAUGUUUUGACCCGCAGGACUCUAUUAGAAACUUGCUCUUGUACCAAUAAUACCAGUAAAACCUAGGCUCUGAUACUAAUUUGUCACAUCCCAAAUUUUGAGUCAUGAUGGCACCUACCAUAACCCACUAGUAGGUAAGCCGACACCAUAACCCGGAGCUAAUGCAAUGGGUUACCUUGGUAGAAACAUCCAACAUGGACCCUAUGUAGCAACACAAUAUAACAACAACAUUCUACAAACAAAAUUACUAACAUUCGAAUACCAAUACCAUGACCUGGUAGUAUAAGUACAAGAGCAACUCUAAAUCUGACAACAAAAAUUAGAAUUUGAAGUCUAGAAACUUAAAUAGUCUUAUACAACUGUCUUGAGUACAAAAGACAAGUAAAGAAAGAAUAAAAAGAGGGAAACUCAAACUCCAAGAUCUCGCCCUAUCCCCUGAUGAUCAACACAACACGAUCUCGACUCAACAGUGGAAACUAGAACUCAGGUUUGCACCAAAAAGGUACAUAAAUGCAGUAUGAGUACCAAAACACGGGUACUCAUUACGCAUCAUCGGCUGACUGAGCUCAAAUAUGAUAUAAAGAUGAGAUAAAGUAAGACAAUGAUCUUAAUGUCAAGGGGUAGGAUCGAACCUGAAUCUACUUUAAUACUACUGUAAGAACAUCUAUACUACUAAAGCAAUAACAUGACAUCCUGUUUCAAAAUACUCCAUAAUCACCAUAACAACUGAGAAUCAUUUUGAAAGAGUACAGUUAUAUACACAAUAUCAAAACAUCUACUUUAUAUAAUCAUCAUUAACCAUCUUUAGACCAUAAACACAAGAACUUACCACAACGUCCACUAUCAGGAAGUACACGAAAGAGAGCACAACAAAGAACGCAUCACAACAUCCCAUACCACCGAAGAAUAUAUAAAAGAACAUCAAACAAGAACUCAUCACAACAUCCUAUACCACCGGAGAGUACACCAAAGAAUACAACCAAUAAUACAAUAAAGCACAACUACUCCAUCAAUUUAACAAAAAUCGCAGGUAGCAUAACCCCGCCAUGGGUCAUUACCGAAAUCCACUUCCAAUUACCCAUACCUUAAUUCAACAUAAAGAAAGCAACAUUGUCAUAGCAUAGGUUUGUAAUCAUUAAUUCUAUAAUUCAUUGAUAAAUACUGCGAAGUCCACACUACUUAACCUUAUUUUUCCAAAAGUCAAAAGAUUACAAGUCUUAAAAUCACUAGUAAUCAAAUUGGGGAAAAACUACAAGACACCCAUAGUAUAGGUUAUUCAACUAUCAUAAGGCCAUUCUUUAACUAGGAUCAUCAUUACAUGAGUUAUCAACUAAGCCAUCUCAACUUCACAUGUUAGGAGAUAAUUUAACUAACCAUCACGCAAUACUAGAUCCAUCAUCACUAAGCAUGUCACAAACUUAAGGACUAGUUUCCAUAUUUUAAUCAAGUAAAGUCCACCAACUAGUUUACUAGGUUUCGAGGUUUCAAAUAAUAAUCAUAUACUUUAGAAGUAGCUAGUUAUCACAUAAGCCACCUUACUAGGCAAGAUUUCAUAGUAUAACCUCUUAUUCAAGUCAAGUAUAUAUAUAGGUUAGCCCUUGAAUUUUUUAUGAAAGUUUACACAUAACGCUAAGCCUUAACUUAAUAUUAGACAUAAAUUUCCCCUAGUAGCUAAUUUAGCAUCAACAAGGGUCACACCUCUUAUAUAGUUAUUUGGAACAAGAAAUGAAUAAUAAUUUACCAGGAGAGACCUCAUAAUUCAAGCAUAUAGGUGGUUGGCCCCAUAUGGCCUAAACUUACAAAUAUCAAUACAUAUAAGUAAAUUUGGCCCACACAGCAUCAUUAUGUUCUUACCUCUUUCGGAUUCAUCAGGCAUCAUCACAAUAUUGACAUAUUUCUCUGAAUUCAUCGGGAUUAUCAUAAUAUCACACAUUCCUCUAGAAUUGAACCGGGCAUCAUCAUAAUAUAACAUAUUCCUCCAAAUUCACCGAGCAUCAUCAAAAUAUCACAUAUUCCUCCGAACUCGAAUCGGGCAUCAUCAUAAUAUCACAUAUUCCUUCGGACUCGAAUCGGGUAUCUUUAUAAUAUCACAUAUUCCUCCAGAUUCACUGGGCAUCAUCAUAAUAUCAUAUAUUUCUCCAGACUCAAACUGGGCAUCAUCAUACUAUCACAUAUUCAUAUAGAGUCAAACCGAGCAUCAUUAUACUAUCACAUAUUUUUCUAGAUACAACAACAUACGUCCACAUGCAUAGCCAAACCAAUAACCAAAUACUCAAGCUCACAAUACAUAAAAAAAUAGGGAUGUGGGAUAACACUUGCCAUUUUACCUUACUAAUAAGCUUCACACGUAAUGUGAGCAUCAAUAAGAGCAUGAGUAUUUACCAAACAUUCACAAUAAUCACUUAACAAGGUUAUUCAAGUCAUGAUAAUAAGAAAAUAUGAUAAUCGAGUGCAACCAUCCCAACUUCUAUACAUAUACAUAUAGCUUGGACAAUCACUACGUAUCUAGGUCGCUAAGCAUUUACUUUGUUCAAGCUUAAGGUGGGUCAAUUCCCACUUCUAAAUCCCGAGAAUACCAAGCUUACUAAAAUAUGUCUAGCAUCUACCCAAAAUUAGGCUAAGUCAUCCAUACCUCACCAUAAAGUCUUACCAAUCCUUUCUAAAUCUAUAGGGAAAGUCUCUUCAAGAAUCCUUCCUAAGUAAACCCAACACCAAGGUCAUCUCCUAUCUAGGAAUUAUAUAGGUUAAUACACUCCUACAGAUAGAGAAGUAUACCAUUCAUGUCUACUUAGGACAACUAUAGUAUUCUCACACUAUUCAUGAGACCACAAUUAAGCUAACCAAGGUCCUAAAGUAAGUGUCAAAUAUCAUACCUUACAAAUCCAUGGACUAUAACAAUUAAUAAAUCCCAAGUUCACUAAUUAAUCAACUAUCGUCUAAAUUCCCCACCCAAUCUCGCAAGAUAUUAAUGAUUAUAUUAUAAACAAGCUCAAUCUGGACCACGAGUAAGCCUAACCUACCUUGAAUCCAAGCAAAUCAUGAACCAACGAGUUUUUCCUUUCCUUUUUGAGAAGCUUUCUCUUCCACAAGCAAUGCUAUCAACAAUAUAAUCUAAUCAUUACAACAAGAAUAAAAAUACCCAUUAUAGCACCAUUGUGCCAUGGGUUUCAAAAUGACAUCAAACCUCAAGUGGGUCCUACCUUUGGAAAAUGAGUUGCUGAUACCAACCCAUAGUCUAAAUAUUAUUAGGGAGCUAAUAACCCUCAAGAAAUUUAAGUAAAUCAAUCAUAUUUUUGGAUACAAUUGAACGUCAAAGACUUAGGAUUUUUUGGUCUAGAAAUCAAGAAAUUAAUAUCAAAUUUGAAAAAAUCUUACCUUAGAUUUGUAGAAGAAAAAUUAGAUUAACACAAGUUGCUAAGCUUCUAAUCAAUCGACAAGACUCAUUUUUUCUGUCAACAAAUAUUUAUGGCUUUUAGGGUUUUGAAAAUGCUGAAAAUAUCUCAAAAAUUGGCCAAAGGGCCUUUUUAUACGAGUUCAAAUGGGUCAGUAGGGUCAAAACUUGUUUUUCACCUACCAGACUCAUUCAGACUCUGUUUUUCACAAACGAACUAUGUAACCUUACUAAAUUUGAUAUUUUAGAUACAUUGGUGAAGUUAGAUUUGCCAUCCGAGGUCAUUUAAGCUACUUGUUGGUCCCACACCCAUAUAUUUCGACUUUUGACUUUUUGACUAAUGGGUCAAAUUAGCUUGGGUGCUGUGGGAUCCGAACCAAAAGUCUACCUAUCGUAAAAUCAAUAUUACAUAGCUACUGAUGUAGUCAAAAUUUGUAUCUGAAAUUGUUUUGGUAAAGUUUUUGUUUAGAGGCCAUUUGGAAUCGACGAAGACUUCAAAUUGGAAAAGUGGUUCUAAAAACCAAACAAACUGUCAUGUAACCGACUUAUCGAUUCCACCAAGUAACUAAUGACUUGUGACGGCUAUGAAGGAGCUCUAUAAGCAAAGAUAAGCAAAACACAGCUAAUGGCCUGGAGGUUCAUUACAAAUACACACUUGAAUUUAUUUUUGGUUAGAAAUGAUAUAAAUACCAAGUUCUUUAUCAACUACAGUAUAUGAAGGACUUUGUUGAGUGUCAACGCCUUUCCUUAUGUUAUCUUCAAGAAAAUUUUUCUUGUUCCUUCAACCUUUGCUAUUGUGGAGUUAUCCAUAUAAAUCUUCUCCUCAUCUUGAGCCGAAGCAUAAGAACCAAAAAACUCCUUGUUGGCACAUAUGUAGCAUGUGGCACUGGAAUCAAUCCAUCACUCUUUAGGAUUACCCACCAAGUUACAUUCUAAGAGCAUGGAUCAUAGAUCAUCCACUUUAUUUUUUGAUUCAGCCAUGUUGGCUUGAUCCUUCUUCUUGACUUUCUUUGGGGCCCGAUAAUCUAUGGAUUUAUGGCCAGCCUUGCCAUAAUUAAAGCAAUUUUCUUUGAACUUUUUAUUUAGAGGAUUGCUUUGUUGUUCAAAUGUUUUCUUUUAUUUCUUUAAGUUAUUAGGGUCAUCUUCAUCAAGAUUUGCUCCACUAAUUACAGAAUUCCCUUUUUCAUCUACUUUGUUAUCUUCUUCAGUAUGUAACCUCACGAUGAGGCCUUCAACAGAAAUUUUCUUUUCUUUAUGCUUCUAGUAAUUUUUAAAGUCGUUCCACAAAGGUGACAACUUUUCUAUUAUAGCCACUACUUUGAAAGCCUUAUUCACAAUCAAACCUACAACAAAGAUUAUAUGAUUGUUAAAAAGAACUUUAAUAUGUUCAAGUAAGGUACUCACUAUGUUUAUACCUUCUGCUAGGAGAUCAUGGAUGAUCACUUACAGUUGUUGCACUUGAGAGAUGAUAUUCUUACGGUUUGUCAUCUUAAAUACAAGAAAUUUUGCAAGAAGAACUAUUUAGUUCCAGCAUCCCCAGUUUUAUAUCUUAAUUCCGAUGCAUCCCAUAAUUUUUUCAAGGUUUUUAGACCGCUGUACACAUUGUACAGAUACUCUUGAAGACUACUUAGUAUAUAUUUCUUACAUGAAAAGUUUGAGCCUUUUCUUGCCUGCAUUACUAUAAAACGUUCCUUGUUCGGUAUCUCUUAGGGAAAUUGUUUAACAUUUUCAAAGAUAAACCUUUAAAAACUUAGAGUCGUCAAAUAGAAGAACAUCUUUUGCUACCAACGUUUGAAAUUCACACCUGGAAACAUUUUGAAUUUUUUUGUUGGUGCCAUAGUGAGCGCGACACUCGUAUGGCUUAUUGUAGCAACAGUUGUAGUUGCUAUACUUGUCUUUUUACCAUUUUAAUGACUUUCAACAGGCAUUUUUUCUGUCACAAAAAGACAACCAAUUUAGUAUGUCAGAAGAAUACUAACUAUAAAGUUUUAAAAACUCUAAGCACCAACUUGUUUCUAGUUUAACAGUGAAGUUUUUAUGUUUUUCAAAUCGUCAAUCGAAUGAACUUUAACUUGUGGUAAAAUUUUUAUAUCUUUAAAUCACUAUUAAGUUCAAACAGAGUAGAAAUUCAAAUUCUUUAAUCUUUAGAAGCAUAAAAAUACAGAGAUUUCAAUGAAUCAGUGAAGUAUUUAUAUUCUGCAAACCAAAUUCCCAAAUUGAUUUGUCGGUUAAGUUUUUAUAUUCUAUCUGUAUUGAUUAAUCAUGUGUUUCAAGGCAUCCCUAUACAUCUAUUAUCAAAACUCAAUCCUCCUAAAGGGGUACUAAGGCAUUUACAUAGCAUCUUUGCUAUGUUUUUCCGGAAGAACACCACAGAUAAGAAGAGUAGACAUUGGGUGAGUUGGGACACUUUAUGCUUACCUAAAUUAGAAGGAGGUGUUGGUUUUAGGUCUCUUUUUGAUGUUUCUAAUGUUCUUUUUUGUAAAAUUUUAUGGAACUUGAGGAGUAGACCUUCACAAUUGGGAGCUUUUAUGACCAACAAAUAUUGCAAAAAAGCUUCAUCCAGUAUUGACCUAAUGUAGGGGAGAUUCCCCUAUAUGGAAAAAGCUAAGAUUUGACAGAGAGCUCAUAGAGCAUCAAAUUUGGUGGAAGAUUGAGAAUGGGAAUUCUAGUUUUUGGUAUGACUUUUGGACUACAAUGGGAGCAUUAUAUCACAUUAUCGCAGAUAUAGGGGAUGGGGAAAUUGAAGUUAGGAAUUUUACAACUGUAAAUAGGUGGAAUGAGCAAAGUUUGAGUAAAUUUUUCCCUAAAGAGAAUGUAGAUUUCAUCAUUAAAAACAUCUGAUCUCCAAUGCAAAUAGAUAAUCUAGAUAAAUAGUGUGGAUGCUUGAACCUAGUGGAAUUUUCUCAGUCAAGAGUGUGUGUGAGUAUACUAUACAAAAGGAUCAGAAAGAAGACAUAUUUUAAUAUUUAUGGAGUGAUAAGCUGCCUUUUAAAAUAUCUUUUUUCACUUGGAGAAUGUGGAAAUUCAGGGUGCCAGUGGAUAAAAUAGUGCAACACAUGGGUGUUAACAUGGUUUCUAGGUGUUGGUGUUGCACUAAUGGUUACUAAUGUUGCAGGUAUAUACAUUGAAGGCUUACAGUUAUCACAAGUGAUCAUUAAAUGGUGGCCAAGAAAAUGUUGUUCAAACUUAAAGCUACUUAUGAGAGCUAUAUCAUCUAUAAUUAUUUGGAACCUAUGGAAGAGAAGGAAUAGAUUAAAGCAUUGAAAUACAUCAUCAUUUACUCAUUUAGUUUUCAAGGUCAACGCUAACCUAUGAAGACUCGGGAGAAUUCUACAUCCAAAAAUACAUGAUUUCCCAAUACACUGGUAAAAUAUUAUGGUAUAUUAAGAGAACCUUAAAGCCAAACUAUUUCAUCUUCCAAUUUGCUGGAAACCACUGGAAGGAUGUCUAAAAUACAACACUGAUGGUAUAUCAAGAGGCAAUCCAUGUAGGAGCACCUGCAAUUUCUUCUUGAGGAACUUUGCAGGUGAUUUAAUAUAUGCUCAAGGGGAAAAAAUUCAGGAAAGCACAAUUCUAGAAGCAGAAGCCAUGGCAAUAAAAAAGGCUCUAGCACACUGUGUGACAAAAGGGAUUACUAAAGUUAGUCUGGAAAUGGAUUCACUAAUGAUGAUUAAAAUUCUUACAAAAAUGUGAUUACCUUGGAAUAUUAUUGGGAUCGUGGAAGCAGAACAGAAAUAUUUAGAACUAUGUCAGGUUCACAUCCAACAUGUAUACAAAAAGGGUAAUUAUUUGGUUGAUUGCUAGCCAAUUUAGCUUUUGAUAAUACAGGUAGACUUGUCUUUAAUUUCUUCUCAGAAUUACCAAGUCAUGCCAGAAGGAUUUUGAAUCUAGAUAAGCAUCAAGUGCCAAAUUUAAGAAUUCGUACUAAGGAAAUAGUUAGAUAUAAGGAUGGGUGUCAAGGAUCCGUCACAACAAUUAUAAGAUGAGUUCAAGCAUUUUUAUUUUCUUGAUGUAGAUUAGUAUUUCUAGUACCUUUGUAGAGGAACAAUUCAUUUCAAAAACCCAAUUCAUAAGGGCAUUUAUAGAUCUAAAGUCAUUGUACUUGAGCGAAGAAUUAUAGAAGACAUGAUUAUAAGUCUUGGUACAGAUUCAAACUUCUUUGAGUCGUCACAGAUGCAAGUCAAAGCUAUAGGAAAACACACAGAUAUAAAGAUAAAUAUUUGCAAAGGGAAAGCCAACUUAUACCUGGAAAAAACUCCAAAAAUCUAUUUGAAGCAGGUUGUGGUCGGUUAAUAAGAAGCUCGCCGGAAGUCUUUCGCUCCAGGAGCUCAUCACCAAACAUUUUUGUUGCUAAAAAUAUUAGUAGGAAAGCCAAGAAAUAAAAAUAAUAUGGGAAAGGAGCUUACAUUUGUUUCACAGCAGGUCAUCACUUUCCUAUUUGCUCAAAUGAUGGAAGAUGAUGGAGAGGAAUUAGCAGAGCUUCUGAUUCAUUUGCCUCUUCAUUUUCUUACUUUUUGUAUUAUUAUUUCCAAGGAAAUGUAUCGAUUGGGAUGCUCUUUUUUUUAUGGACAUGGUUUUAUU
This 8770-nucleotide long non-coding RNA is filed under the name Capsicum annuum. RNAcentral's name for it is "long non-coding RNA (CANN_LNC016343)". Lineage: Eukaryota; Viridiplantae; Streptophyta; Magnoliopsida; Solanales; Solanaceae. The record is from RNAcentral.